This 649-nucleotide ribosomal RNA is filed under the name Clostridioides difficile. RNAcentral's name for it is "partial 23S ribosomal RNA". It matches the Rfam family "Bacterial large subunit ribosomal RNA", at positions 1549 to 2210 of the family's 2925-position model. Lineage: Bacteria; Bacillati; Bacillota; Clostridia; Peptostreptococcales; Peptostreptococcaceae. The record is from RNAcentral.
GAUAAUGCUGGGAUGUGAUGGGGAGCGAAAUUUAGUAGCGAAGUAGCUGAUUUCACACUGUCAAGAAAAGUCUCUAUCGAGGUUAAAGGUACCCGUACCGCAAACCGACACAGGUGGGUGAGGAGAGUAUCCUAAGGCCAGCGAGAGAACUGUUGUUAAGGAACUCGGCAAAAUGACCCCGUAACUUAGGGAUAAGGGGUGCCACCAUCAGGUGGCCGCAGAGAAUAGGCCCAAGCGACUGUUUACCAAAAACAUAGGUUUCUGCUAAGUCGCAAGACGAUGUAUAGGAGCUGACGCCUGCCCGGUGCUGGAAGGUUAAGGGGAUCUGUUAGAGCAAUCGAAGCAGUGAACUUAAGCCCCAGUAAACGGCGGCCGUAACUAUAACGGUCCUAAGGUAGCGAAAUUCCUUGUCGGGUAAGUUCCGACCCGCACGAAAGGCGUAACGAUUUGGGCACUGUCUCAACAACAGACUCGGUGAAAUUGUAAUUCCGGUGAAGAUGCCGGAUACCUGCGACAGGACGGAAAGACCCCAUGGAGCUUUACUGUAGCUUGACAUUGGGUCUUGGUACUACAUGUACAGGAUAGGUGGGAGGCUUUGAAACCAGGACGCCAGUUUUGGCGGAGCCAUCCUUGGGAUACCACCCUUGUA